This is a non-coding RNA of Pelobates cultripes (western spadefoot toad), 590 nucleotides long. The record is from the annotation of a GenBank genome assembly. NCBI's taxonomy places the organism in Eukaryota, Metazoa, Chordata, Amphibia, Anura, Pelobatidae.
UAUUGCUGCAAAGUAGCUUACACGUAGAUACCCACGUGGUCGCAACUUGAAAGUCUCUGAUUGGCUCUAUUCCAAAAAAACACUCUGGGAUACGCCUCACAAGUUCGGGGCUAUUCGUUUCUUAACAUGAAACAUGUUGCGGCGCCCAGCCCCCAUGGGCGUGAUUAGACACUUAGCGAACUAGGUCAAUUCUCUUGUGGACAUUAUAGUUGCGCAGGAACUUUGUUGACUCUAGAGAAUCUCGGGCAAAUCGCACAUCCCCGUGGUGACGACUUUGCAUGCGGAUGUCAUCCAUAUCAACUUUCAAUGCCAGUUUCUGCGCCUACCAUGGUGACCACGGGUAACGGGGAAUCAGGGUUCCAUUCCGUACAGGUACCCUGAGAAACGGCUACCACAUACAAGGAAGGCAGCAGGCACGCAAAUGAACCACUCCCGACGCGGGAAGGUAGUGACAAAAAAUAACAAUACAGGACUCUUUAGAGGUCCUGUAAUUGAAAUGAGUCCACUUGAAAUCCUUUAACUCUGAUCAAUUGGAGGGAAGUCUGGUGCAGAGCCACUGACCCAUGUGUGCUGCAGCUGAAACUCCAUUA